GGUGGGCACCGUGGGGGAAGGGGAGGGAUGGGGAUGAAGGGUGUGGGGAGCUGGAGACAUUUCGGGGAUGAGGCCGGGCAGGUCCAGAGCUCUGCCCCUCAACAAGCCCAUCAGCAGCAAAGGCCUCCCUCUGCACACCCCACAGUUCUGCCAGGGACGGGAGAGGAUAAUGAGCCACUUCCCUUCUAAGCACUGCUGUGACAGGCAAGGGCACCAGGGAGGCUAGUAUGGGCUGCUCAGGCACAAGUCUGUGAUAGUGCUGCAGCGGGGCAGGGAAGGCCGGCUGGCCUUAACCAGAGCUGUCCCAUCCCUCUCUGGUCCUGGGUACGGUGCCCUGGGCUGGCCCAGUCUCCUUUCAUGCCCAGAGGCACAGAAUGCCCUCCUAAGCCUUCUGACCAAAAGAAGUUCCUCUUCUUGUCCCACUGGAGACUCCUUAUAGAAAUUCCAGAGCACUUUCAUUCUCUGGAGAGCAGGAGAAGGGGAGAGAGCCGUGGGCUGGCCUGAUGCUAUGACUGGAAGAGAGGAAGACACUCAGCACCCCCCCCCCAUCCCACCCUGCACGGAAAGGGUGAGAGCUACAUGCCCCUUAGUCUCUGCAUAGCCCUACUCCCUACCACCACCUCAGGGAAGCCCACCUAGCCCCACCAAGCAGGGCCGCAUCAACCCAGCUGCCACUGGUCUAGCUACACCUUCCAGUAGCCUGGAAUCUAGAGAAAGGAAAGAAUCUUCCUCCCCCCUUUUCCUCUCUCCCUCCCUUCCUUCCAUCCUUUGUUCCCUCCUUCCACUUUUUAUUUAGAAAUAAUUUCAAACUUACAGAAAAGUUGUCAAAAUAAGAAUAGUCUAAGACGCAUAUACCCUUUUUGGCCAUAUGCAACUAUUGUUAAUAUUUUGCUUCACUUUCUUUCUGUAUGUAUUUGCCCUCUCUCUCUCUCUCUCUCUCUCUCUCUCUCUCUCUCUCUCUCUCUGUGUGUGUGUGUGUGUGUGUAUGUGUGUGUGUAUAAGAAAGAGAGAAAGAGAUCAUAAUUUUUUUCUUGACCAUUUGAGAGUAAAGUUACAGGCAUGAUGGCUGAAAGGAUGGUUUCCUAUCUAUUUCUGGCUCCUGGAGCCAGUCUGAGGAAGCCCAGGCCACAUUGUGUGGAGUGAAUGAAGGUCUGGAACAGGCAAGGAAUGAGCGGACAUCACCUACUAGGAGCUCGAGGCCUGGAGAACUGGAGGCCCUUGGCCAAGGCCACCUGAGAGUCUGGCUGGUCCAGGGCUAGGCACCACUCAUUUUCUGCUCCUUCGGCCUGAGAAGCAGGGAGCCAUUGCCCACCAGAGCAAGCCUGUGGUGUCUGCUGGGUGUGGAGCUGCAGCAUAUGUCUGUGGAGCUGGCAGGAGGCAGGUGGGGUAAAGCUGGGAGAGCAGGGAUGCCCACGCUGUGGCAGCUGGGCACACUCAGGAGAUGGGCUUGAGAAGCCCAUCCUGGCUCUCAGGGAGUGGAGAAGCCACUCCCUGGCUUGAGAAGCCUCAGCUGCUGGAGGCCCUAGCCCCAGGCCCAGUGCCACGGCUUUGAAUUCUUGCCUUUGGACCCUCUCCACAGCCCCAUGAGGCACAGGGCAGGGAUAGGGGCCCCCACUUGAUAGCUGAUCAAUGCUAAUUGGCUUAGAUAGGGCAGAAUGGGGGCCUUGGUCAUGCAAUGGUCUCUGACACAGGGCUGGCAUUCCUUCUGUCCCCCAGUGCCCUCACAUGGGUUGGAGUUCCAUGUGGAGCUGUCCUUCAGAUGACUUCUCUCUUAUCCCUCCUAACCCCCAUCUGAAGGUUAUGGUUAAGUGUGGCAUUUAAAAAUCACAUGGUGAGGGGCGCCUGGGUGGCUCAGUCAGUUAAGCAUCUGACAGUUGAUUUCGGCUCAGGUCAUGAUCUUAAGGUUUGGUUCAUGAGUUCGAGCCCUGCGUCGGGUUCUAUACUCAUGGAGCCCGCUUGGGAUUGGCUCUCUCCCUCCUUCUCUGCCCCUCCUCCACUUGUCCUCUUGUUCUUUCUCUCUUUCUCUCUCUCUCAAAAUAAAUAAGUAAACUUAAAAAAAAAAUCACAUGGUGAGGGACACCUGGCUGGCUCAGUUGGUGGAGCAUGUGACUCUUGAUCUCGGGGUCAUGAGUUCAAGCCUCAUGUUGGGUGUAGAGCUUACUUUAAAAAAAAAAAAAAAACAACAACUAAAACCUCUUGUAUCAAGUACAAUAAAAUGAAAUGAAAUGAAUGUCAUAAUAAUAAACUUAUAAAUUUGGGGGGGGGGGGAAAUCACAUGGUGAAAGAUGAUCUGAGCUCUGAAGCCCUGAUUUCCUCUCCCUUACAGGUGAAUUCCUCUUCCUCCAUGAAGCCCUCCAGACUUCCUUAGAUCUUCCCACAUCACACGACUUCUGGGGAAUGCCAGCCCUGUUUGUUCCUUUACUGGUUCACACUGGUGCUGUAUCAGGGCCUAGGGCUUUGCUCUGUCAUCAGCCUCUCUCCUUCCUGCUGCCCCAGGCCAGGCAUAUAACUGAUGCCCCAUAGAUGGAUGGCAGUGGCAUGGUUAGUCCUGCCAGGAUAUUGAUUCUCUCUGAUGCCCCUGUGCCCACCGUCUGAGAGUCCACAGGCUCUGGGCUGGCUGAGGUGGUGGUGGGGUUGGGCAAGGGGAUCUACCCGAGAGAGGGAAAAGGCUUGUUUAAGGCUAAGCCUGUUAGGGCAACGGCAGGCCUCUGGCUUGGAUCUCCGACCACCUAUUUAGCACCUUGUGCUUCUUCCCCUGGAGCACGGGCAAGCCUGUCCGGGGUGGAGGCUAAGGGUGCUCCCCAAACCCUUGGGUGAUUGCAGGACCUGUAGAACCAAGGGAAGAAAUGCAUCCCCUACCUCUGUUACCCCCAGCCCACCCAUGUGAAAGCCCAGGGUAUACCAGCCUCCUCUCCCCCUGCCCAUCCCCCAAAGAGAUUUCUGCCAAUUAGCACAUACGCUAUUUACUUAAUUAGGGUAAUGACAUAAUUAGUGUAAGUUGGGCUCCAUCACAUGGCUUCAACAUGCAAUUAGGAGCCGUCAGCGGGAGGCGACAUUGUGGAAAAACUCAUUCAAUUUUGGUUCCAGCAUGGAGGCCAGAGCAGCUGCCUCUGCUUGGGAGGCAGGCAGGCAGCAGCCACUGUGUGUGUGGGGUGACUGUAGGCAGCCACAGAUAGCAUAGGACAGGAGAGUCAGCAGGGGUGGGGGUGGGGGGGGCAGAACGGCAGUUGCCAGGGUUGAGGGUGUCCCUGGCCAACCCUGCCUCUCCCAUCGCUUACAGAUGCUGUCACCCCCAGAACCCCAGGGCAGGGCAGGGGCUCUGGCUUGGCUGGGGUGACUGAGACUGGGAGCCUGAGCAAUCCAGGCCCCUUUGCCCCUAAGAUGCCACCCUUAGCAGGAUGUGUCUUCUCUCUUCAGGGCUUUGCUGCUCACAGGAGCCACCGUCUCAUAUCCACUGGCCUGGUGGCUGCUCAUGGUGGCCCUAUGAGGCCACAGACUGGAAGGACUGGAAUGACUACUAUUAUCCUCAUUGGACUAGUAGGGAAACUGAGGCUCAGAGCAAGUGAGGUGGUAGAGCCAAUCAUGGCAGCGCUGACCCUAAGAGGCAGUCCAGCAUGGCUGGAGACUUCUCAAACCCAGGCAGAUCACCCUCAGCCUCAGGGAGGUCUCCUUCUCCAUAGGCUCCUUUUUCUGAGAGGGGGCAGAGAAUCAUAGGGGUCCCCAGACUGCUGCUCCCUCAGCCUCCCCUCCCUUGCACAAGGCUGGGAGGCAGGGAGACCAUCCAUGGCUUUCCCUUCCCCUUAGUGAGCCUCCCAGCUUUCCUGGGCAGUGGGAGCAGGGAAGUGAGGGAAGAUAGGAGGCAGUGCCACCAUUGUGCCAGUAGGGAAACUGAGGCUCUGGGGCCACCAAGAGGAACCUAAAUCAGGCCUCAGCAAUCCUAUUCCCUGCCUGGCUCAGUCACCUGGGCUAUCCUCUCCCCCAGGCAUCAGUUUCCCUGUGUGAAAGGAGACAUGGUCUCACACAUCCUGGGACUGUCCAGAACCCCCCCAGGAAGGUGGGGCCCACCUUGACAUCUAUUUAACCUCCUUCUAAAUUAUGUCAUCAUAGCUGUCCCUCCCCUUUAUGUCCCACCUGGGCCCUGCCUAGUGGUCGGGGCCCCUGGGGAGACAGCUCUGACUGGCAAUUCUGCCUGUUCCAGGCUGGGCUUCCUGCCCUUCUGAACUGGGGAAUCCCUGGGCUCUGGGGGCCAUCUUAGACUCUCCCAAUCAGUGGUGCCCCAUCUUAUAGGUGAUACCCCCAGAUGGCUGGAUUCUGCUGUUAUCUGACCUCCUCCCUAGGUGUACAGCAGUGUGGUCAGAGUGGGGCUGACUUGUUUGCUAAUUGCUGACUAUGGACCAAACACCUUGGGCCUGGCUACUGGGGCAGGGAUGGGAAGGGAUGGGCAGACAGAGGUGAGGGUAACUACGUCCAGGGGAUUAUGACCUCAGAGUUCAGACAGACUCAGGCCUAAGGAGUGUCCUCCAAAGGGUAGGCAAAGAUAAGUGCCAGGAAGAGCCAAGACUAAGGGCCACACUGAGUAGAGAUCUGACCCUCUCCUUCUGGUCAGGAAGAGCAGCACCUGCCAGGCCUGGGGGAGGCAAGGCUUUCAGUCCACAGAAGAUGUACUUCAGGUACCAGUCAGAGACACAAGAACCAAGGUUCCCAUCCAGCCCCAGGAGCCCAGAGAUUCAAAUGAGCCAACCAUCUGGAAGCCCCCAGAAGGACCAAAGCAGGGGCCAGCUGGGAAGGACCCUGCUUUCAAUGCCUCCUUCAUAUCUGCCAGGUGAGCCAAGACCACCUCAGCUCACCCCAAGGCUGCAGAAGUAAGCCGAUUCCACAAAGUUGGCUUUUCUGAGCCAAGGUCCAAAUGGGCUGGAUGGUGUUGCCCUGGAAACCCUGGAGGCCAGCUGUCCAGGUGAUCCUCUGCCCUCCCCUACCAGGCCUGGUGUGGGAGGGGCUAGAGCCCACCCUUACAGGACUCCACCAUGGCUUAAAAUGCUCCUUCAGAGUGUCUGGGACUACUCACCUCUAACACCACGAGUUAGCUGUGUGUCCUCAAGUAAGCCGCUGACAUCUCUGGGCAUCGGCCUCCCCACUGGAGGCAGUUGGAGGAGUAAUUCCCUUCAGCCUCAGCUGAGGCAGGGCAGCCAGAAUGAUGGGGCUGGGGGGAGGGGCACUGUCCCUACACAUGUGGCCCAUGGCCCCUGCCUCACUCCCCUGUCCAGACUCUCAGUUCCUUGGGGCCCACUCAUGGCAGACGGGCAUCACUCCUGGGUAUCCCUUCUGCAGGGAGAGGAGGUGGCUGCUACUACCAAAGCCAUCCUCCAGGUCCCUCGCUCCUCCAUGCCAAGCACAUUAGGGGAUAAUUAAGUAAAAAUAGGCCUUCCGACCAGUGUAGCUCAUUAAGGCCUAAUUAAGUUAAUUAGUUCCAGGUGUGGAUGGCGAGGCUCAAGUGAGGCGACGGCUGUUUGCUGUAAUUGCAUUUUCGCCGCAGCAGCGGUGGCGGUGGUAACUGUGGUGGCAAAGGCGGUGGCUUCCUCUGAGGCCUGGAAGCCCGCCAGGGAGGUCGGGGAGGGGUCUGGAGCCAAGCAGGCCUGGACCACCCACAGAGAGCUGUAGAGCCAGAGGUUCCAGGUCAGCAGGGCCCAGGGAAACCUGCACUCUCUGCAGGGGUGGUGGGAGGCUGGGGGAGCCAGGGGAAGGGGGAGUACAAGGCCACCAACAGGCAUCCUCCCCGCUGGCUGAGAGUGGCGGGUGCAGGUGCAUCGUGGCUUGUCCUUUGGAUUCCCUCACACCCAUGGUGGUCCCCAGGAAGACUGGCAAAGGGCUUUGCUAAAGGGGAAUGUGUGACUCCGAGGCGGUGGUGAGACCUAUAGGAAUCCACCUAAAUCACCCCCUCCGUUUGGCUCGAGUCUCUAACUCCUGUUCCUUUCUGCUGCAGGUGUGUGGCUCUGAGACCCUCUCUUUGCGGUUCAAGGCAGGAGUGGGGCCACACAAGUCUGGGGUCUCUGCAGGGGACCUGCUGGCCUCAUCAGUCUCCUGCCCCAGACGUCUCCCCAAACCCACUUCCUGCCGCAGCUUCAGGACUCACCUGUGUAGGACAGCCCUCCCAGCCUUGGUUGAUGAGGGAGCAUGGGGCAAGCUGACGGCAAAUACAGGCUGACAGCAUGCUGCCCCCCACCCCGGCCCCCUCUACCGGGGGGAAUAUGUGUGAUAUUCCUUGGACACUCCUGGCUACCCAAGAACAAAGGAAAGGGGUUUAGGUAUUUGCCAUGGUGAUGUGGGAAACUAAGGCAAAUGAAAAAUUAAAUUCCCUUAUGCCUACAGCCCAUUGACAGGUCCUUGAAACCAGCAGAGUGACCUCCCUCUAGGAGCUCAGCUGCCUCAAGGAUGACACUUUGCUGGGGGCAAAAGAGAAUCUUAGCUUAACAUUAUCCCAACCUCGAGGAUCCUGUAAGUCUACUGUAUCUCAACUGCCCCAAUAUAUGCUGGCAAUCAUACUCCAAGCUUAUGGCCCCCAGUAUACAUCUGAAGGGUCUCAUGACUGAGGUUUUAUUAAACGGUAAUAAAUGGUGUUUCCCUAGCAACAGCUAGCCCCUCAAAGUCCCGGAAACCUUGCUUCCAAAAUUUCUUGGAGACUUACUCUAUCCCUGACUGACCCCCUCCCAACCUGAGGGUAUAAUGAUGAGUUACCCAUCAUGACCCCAGUGCAGCUCUCCCUGUCCUGUCCCCAUGCUUUAAUAAAAUUACCUUUUUGCACCAAGGGCGUUUUCAAGAA
Long non-coding RNA from Panthera uncia (snow leopard), 6817 nucleotides. RefSeq lists it as uncharacterized. Lineage: Eukaryota; Metazoa; Chordata; Mammalia; Carnivora; Felidae. The record is from RefSeq and is a predicted model, not a curated record. The transcript is spliced from 2 exons.